AAAUUGAAGAGUUUGAUCAUGGCUCAGAUUGAACGCUGGCGGCAGGCCUAACACAUGCAAGUCGAACGGUAACAGGAAUCAGCUUGCUGAUUUGCUGACGAGUGGCGGACGGGUGAGUAAUGUCUGGGAAGCUGCCUGAUGGAGGGGGAUAACUACUGGAAACGGUAGCUAAUACCGCAUAAUGUCGCAAGACCAAAGAGGGGGACCUUCGGGCCUCUUGCCAUCGGAUGUGCCCAGAUGGGAUUAGCUAGUAGGUGGGGUAACGGCUCACCUAGGCGACGAUCCCUAGCUGGUCUGAGAGGAUGACCAGCCACACUGGAACUGAGACACGGUCCAGACUCCUACGGGAGGCAGCAGUGGGGAAUAUUGCACAAUGGGCGCAAGCCUGAUGCAGCCAUGCCGCGUGUAUGAAGAAGGCCUUCGGGUUGUAAAGUACUUUCAGCGGGGAGGAAGGGAGUAAAGUUAAUACCUUU
This 473-nucleotide ribosomal RNA is filed under the name Escherichia coli. RNAcentral describes it as "bacterial SSU rRNA". It matches the Rfam family "Bacterial small subunit ribosomal RNA", at positions 1 to 470 of the family's 1533-position model. The record is from RNAcentral. Lineage: Bacteria; Pseudomonadati; Pseudomonadota; Gammaproteobacteria; Enterobacterales; Enterobacteriaceae.